Molecule: ribosomal RNA, 592 nt
Filed under: uncultured bacterium
Lineage: Bacteria
Description: bacterial SSU rRNA
Rfam family: Bacterial small subunit ribosomal RNA
Source: RNAcentral
UACUCCUACGGGAGGCAGCAGUGGGGAAUAUUGGACAAUGGGCGCAAGCCUGAUCCAGCCAUACCGCGUGGGUGAAGAAGGCCUUCGGGUUGUAAAGCCCUUUUGUUGGGAAAGAAAUCCAGCCGGCUAAUACCCGGUUGGGAUGACGGUACCCAAAGAAUAAGCACCGGCUAACUUCGUGCCAGCAGCCGCGGUAAUACGAAGGGUGCAAGCGUUACUCGGAAUUACUGGGCGUAAAGCGUGCGUAGGUGGUCGUUUAAGUCCGUUGUGAAAGCCCUGGGCUCAACCUGGGAACUGCAGUGGAUACUGGGCGACUAGAGUGUGGUAGAGGGUAGCGGAAUUCCUGGUGUAGCAGUGAAAUGCGUAGAGAUCAGGAGGAACAUCCAUGGCGAAGGCAGCUACCUGGACCAACACUGACACUGAGGCACGAAAGCGUGGGGAGCAAACAGGAUUAGAUACCCUGGUAGUCCACGCCCUAAACGAUGCGAACUGGAUGUUGGGUGCAAUUUGGCACGCAGUAUCGAAGCUAACGCGUUAAGUUCGCCGCCUGGGGAGUACGGUCGCAAGACUGAAACUCAAAGGAAUUGACGGA